RNAcentral lists this ribosomal RNA (373 nucleotides) under uncultured organism. RNAcentral describes it as "bacterial SSU rRNA". It matches the Rfam family "Bacterial small subunit ribosomal RNA", at positions 526 to 896 of the family's 1533-position model. The record is from RNAcentral.
CGAGCCACACGAACGUUAUUCGGAAUUACUGGGCUUAAAGGGUGCGUAGGCUGCGCGGAAAGUUGGGUGUGAAAUCCCUCGGCUCAACCGAGGAACUGCGCCCAAAACUACCGUGCUCGAGGAAGAUAGAGGUAAGCGGAACUUACGGUGGAGCGGUGAAAUGCGUUGAUAUCGUAAGGAACACCUGUGGCGAAAGCGGCUUACUGGGUCUUUCCUGACGCUGAUGCACGAAAGCUAGGGGAGCAAAACGGGAUUAGAUACCCCGGUAGUCCUAGCCGUAAACUCUGAGCACUGAAUUGAAGGGCCCCCCAUAGCCCUUCAGUUGUAGCGAAAGUGUUAAGUGCUCCGCCUGGGGAGUAUGGUCGCAAGGCUG